AGUCCUACGGGGGGCAGCAGUGGGGAAUAUUGCACAAUGGGGGGAACCCUGAUGCAGCGACGCCGCGUGAGUGAAGAAGUAUUUCGGUAUGUAAAGCUCUGUCAGCAGGGGAGAAGAAAGACGGUACCUGACCAAGAAGCCCCGGCUAACUACGUGCCAGCAGCCGCGGUAAUACGAAGGGGGCAAGCGUUAUCCGGAUUUACUGGGUGAAACGGGAGCGUAGGCGGCAGGGCAAGUCUGGAGUGAA
Molecule: ribosomal RNA, 247 nt
Filed under: uncultured bacterium
Lineage: Bacteria
Description: partial 16S ribosomal RNA
Rfam family: Bacterial small subunit ribosomal RNA
Source: RNAcentral